CCAGUUGUGUCAGAGUUGUGUUUAUUUACUGGCAUUUCGAUUUCUUCCUGCUUAUUCCCCACACUUCUUGCAUUAGUAUACAGACAUCUAAGAUACUGAUUUGAUUCCCUCCCCACAGUUCUGUCUUGUUUCUCCUUUAUCCCUGUUAUAAUAGCCCAUGCUCCCCCUAAAUUGUGACCCUUCCCCCAGAUCUCCAUAUUUUUGCCUUACCUAUGGGUUUUGGUCACCUGCCUCCUUUGAACCUAGUUUAAAGCCCUCCUCACUAGGUUAGCCAGUCUGUAUCCAAAUAUGCUCUUCCCCUUCCUCGAUAGGUGGACCCCAUGUCUGUUUAGAAGUCCUUUUUCCUGGAACAGCAUCCCGUGGUCCAGGAAGCCGAAGUUCUCCUGGCGACACCAUCUUUGCAGCCAGGCAUUCACCUCCAGGAUGCAUCGGUCUCUGCCUGAGUCCCUACCAUUGACUGGAAGGAUUGUAGAGAACACCACCUGCACUCCCAACUCCUUCACACUUACUCCCAGAGCCCUGUAGUCCCUUCAAGAAAAAG
This is a long non-coding RNA of Dermochelys coriacea (leatherback sea turtle), 541 nucleotides long. RefSeq lists it as uncharacterized. The record is from RefSeq and is a predicted model, not a curated record. The transcript has 3 exons. Lineage: Eukaryota; Metazoa; Chordata; Testudines; Dermochelyidae.